GUUGGGCUCCCCUUUCCUUAUUCUG
This 25-nucleotide non-coding RNA is filed under the name Mus musculus (house mouse). The record is from RNAcentral. Lineage: Eukaryota; Metazoa; Chordata; Mammalia; Rodentia; Muridae.